RNAcentral lists this unclassified non-coding RNA (1092 nucleotides) under Hevea brasiliensis (rubber tree). Lineage: Eukaryota; Viridiplantae; Streptophyta; Magnoliopsida; Malpighiales; Euphorbiaceae. The record is from RNAcentral.
GUUGACUACAAGCGGUCUGACUGUCUAUUAUGUUCUCAGUCAGAUUCUCGUUAUGGAAUAGCUUUAGCUUGCACACAGAAGGAUAAAAGGGUUUAUUUGCUGGGCUACUUAAAUGCAUUGGAGUUCUUGUGUCAGCCACUUGCUGAACUAGUAAACAUGGAGAAGAAACAAAUAGUUGCUGAAAGUGAUGUUGCUUCUGUUUCUACAUUCCUGUUUAGCAUCCAAGAAGCAUUUGACCAAUUUUUUGAUGUUUUCCUAUUUUUUCACAGUACAGCAUCUGAAAGAGAGGGAGAUGAAAUUAAUGAAAACAAGACAAUACUUAGUGUUGCUGUUGCUGCUUUUACUCUCUCCAUCAGGACGAAGCUUCAAUUCCAGAGGAGUGUGCAUCUAAUGAAGCACAUCAUUGCCAGCAAAUGGAUUCAACCCCAGGGGCUGAAAUAUAUAUUUGCCUCUCUUUACAAUCUUGGUGUACAUUUAUACAGAAACAAGGAUGUAAAUGAGGCUUCAAAGGCAUUAAAAUUAUCAUGUAGAGCUUCCUGGACUUGUGUUGCGCUUCUUUGUCAAAUGUUUGUGAACAAGUCCAGUGAACAAGGCAUUGGUGAUGUUUCAGAAGAAUAUAUUCUAGAUUUUGUUAUGGAGGCAUGUAUGCGAAAUGCAUUUCUUUUGGAUGUUCUCUCUCAAUGUGGCAGUCUUAAAGUGAAAAAGAUAAUUGUAAAUAGUCUUGAAAAUUGGUCAGUUGCUGAAUGUUUAUUUACAAGGCUGCCAGGUCCUAUGCCUUUGGUGAAACAAUGGGUGAAGAUAGAAUGCAAACGUAAUAAGAACUUGGAUGUGGAUGAUAGUCCAACCUUAUAUUAUUUGUUGUCAUCCUCCGCAAAAUUGUCAAAGAGGGCAAUUGGCAAAAUUUUACAGCAGGAGCUUCUUGCAUAUGAAGAAAUGGACACCAUGUACCCUGAAUUGUGCCAGAGAAUGCAAAUUAAAAUAAUAGAUAUCCUCUUGCAAGAUUUUUACUUCACACAAGAUUGUUAUUUAGAGAGAUCAAGAAUUUUACUGAAAAAAGGGCGGUCAUUGAGGACCAUGGGGCAUGAAGGUUUG